CUUCACGAGUAUAAAAAUAAAAAUGAAAAUCUUUUCUUACUGAAACCUCUUGAGAUUCAAUACUUCAAUCCUGUUAGAAAACAUACUUCUUACAACUUUCUACCACUCAUGUAGUAGCUUUUUUUCAGAUUAAAAACAUUUCAAACUUUCUGUCAUGAAACCUACAUAAAGCACUGUAAUCUUCUUUGACGAAAAAUCAUGCUUUUCAAUUUAAUUUCCAGUUUUGUAUUUUUGCCAGAUUGGAGGGGCAAGAAAAAGUGCACUCAUCCUUCUAAGAAACAGAAAACAAUGCAAAGAUCACAACGGAAGUUUUCCACAAACAGUGAUAGAAUAUGAGCGAGGAGCAGUUCAAAAGAAAAGCUCGGAUACAUGGCAGGAACAAAGUAGGGGCAAAUUCACAAAAGACAUACAAUGUUCACGUCGGAAAAUCGGAUUAUUACCUUGACUGAACAGAUGCUACACCCCCAGCGUCCCGUUGCCUUGGUUGAUUUGGUUUUGGCUUUUAUUAAUAUUAUUGUUUCUUAAUAGUUGAUUUGGCUGAUGUGGUUUGGCUUGGUUUUCGCUUGUGUUGUUGUUGUCGCCUUUUCUUUUUCUUUCUUUUUGGUCGAUUUAUUUAACUGCUAGCGAAAAGACCUUUCUGCAGCUGCGGCUGGUGCGGCGCCUGCGGCUGGUGCGGAUCGCGGCUGCCUCGCCCGGCGCCCGGGAGCCUCCAGCCGACCUGGGGACAGGGCGCCUCCGCCGCCCCGCAGUCGGGCUGUCAAUCGGGCCGCUCGAGCGGAAUUCUGGCUUUCCGCACUCUGCUCUCGCCGGCUGUCAGUCCUUCCGUCAGUCCGUCCGCCCCUCAGAGUUCCGCGGUCCACUCAGCUACGCGGGUCCUUCUUCCCGUCUUCGGUGCCCGCAGCGCUCCUGCUCUGUGCCCUGGACACUUCCCUGGGUCAGAGGAGGACGCCUGGAGGGAGGGCGCACCUCUCUCUCUCUCUCUCUCUCUCUCUCUCUCUCUCUCUCUCUCUUUCUCUCUCUCUCCCCCCUGCUUCCUGUCCUCUCCCAGGAGGCCGGGUAGGGCAGUCUGCUUGCUCCCACCUGUCCCUCUUUCUGCUCUCCGGGUGCCACCCAGAAUUAGCCAGCCUGGAUCCUGGAUCUGCCCCUGGGGACCACGCUGCCUGCCGAGCGCCUUGGGCGUCCACCCUUCCGCAGAUAUCCAGCCUUUCGUAGACUGUUCUAGAAGAGUGAUGCCUUCUGAUACACUAUAAAAUAUCCUUCAGUAAAAAAGGUAUUUCCUUACCAAGAAAAUCUGUUUUCUGUAUUCAAAGUAAGUCUCUGAAAUUGUAUUCUUUUUUCCUAUUUAUAGUCUCUAUAUUUGGGUAAACAAGACAAUUUGUGUCACUCAUUAAAACUGAAAAAUGAAUUAAGUUGCAUUAGAAAAUAGAUGUCUCCAAAUGUCCU
RNAcentral lists this long non-coding RNA (1443 nucleotides) under Cavia porcellus (domestic guinea pig). RNAcentral describes it as "lncRNA (ENSCPOG00000033004.1)". The record is from RNAcentral. Lineage: Eukaryota; Metazoa; Chordata; Mammalia; Rodentia; Caviidae.